ACAAAAACAAUUUAAAACUGCGUAAUGGUCCAAACCACCAUGGAUGGUGUUCUGACGAUGAUACACGGGGUGAGGUCUGACUCAUGAGCCGCUGUCCGUGAUGACUUGACAUUCUCAAAAGGAAAUCCCGAAUGUUCUCACUGCAUGCUGCUGCAGGCCCUCAUGGCAGGGCAUCCACACCACUGGCUCAGGUGCUGGUUGCUCCAGAAUCUCUCUUCAGCUGGCCUUUUUCUACUGAACUGUCUGUGAGAACAUCACUGCAGGCACGGUUUUCUCCAACCAUAAUUGCUGCUGCCAAAGCCACCUCGGACUUGGGAAAGGGAAACAACACUCCACUAGAGAGCGUAGAAUCUUAGAAUUCAUCUACUUCAUUCUCCUCCUGGUACUCUACUUUCUUCUACAACGUCCCAGCCGAGCUGAGGUCUGAGCUGUGCUGCUCAAGGCUGUCCCAUGUGAAUACA
RNAcentral lists this long non-coding RNA (461 nucleotides) under Homo sapiens (human). RNAcentral describes it as "non-protein coding lnc-KRR1-4:19". The record is from RNAcentral. Lineage: Eukaryota; Metazoa; Chordata; Mammalia; Primates; Hominidae.